RNA transcript from Triticum aestivum (bread wheat), 2480 nucleotides. RefSeq lists it as uncharacterized. NCBI's taxonomy places the organism in Eukaryota, Viridiplantae, Streptophyta, Magnoliopsida, Poales, Poaceae. The transcript is spliced from 3 exons. The record is from RefSeq and is a predicted model, not a curated record.
GCUUUUGAUCUCGUUCGCUCGAUCUGCCUUGCUGGAGGUUUUUCACCCCGGUGUCAAAAAUCCCACGGCUUGUUUCUUUCCACACCACUCUUUCUUGCUCAGGCGGAUGACAAGUGGGCCUUCGUCUCUCACGGGCCUAGCUUGGAAGUGCGCGUGCUGUGUGUUCGUCGCCCGCGCCUUGCGUGAAAAAUACAUUAACCGCGGCCAUCGUGGAUGAUUCACCCACCAAUCCCGUGUCCUCCUCCCCACCAAUCGCCCGUCCUCCUCGAGGCCAGGGCACAACAAUAGCCAUGCCUCGCCGCCACCUCUCCUUCCCCGCUCAUCCUCUCCAGACGCCGCCGCCGCCACCCCUGUCUCUCCUCCUCUCUCCUCAUCACCAUCAUCACGCGUGCCCACCCAACGAAUCAGGUGGCCAGUGCGGGAUGCAAUGGCGCAUCUGGCCAGAGGAGAACGGAGCGGCUGCAUCUCCUGGCAACGGCAGUGGGGGCGGGCGAGGUUGCAAGGUGACGGCUGAGGCGGCGGCGGUGCCAGCGGAUGGAGGAGCCGCUCUCAGAUCGAGUUUGGGCUGGCAAGACUGCAGGGCGACGGCCCCAGGCGGGGGUGCAAGGAUCCGGUCGGUGUGCUGUUGCUGCCGCCGACGGACAGAAGAGGCGCCCUCGGCCGGGUCGAAGUGGCAGCGCUGUCGGUGAUGCCAAGGGGCAAGGAAAUGGGCAAGCGAGACCAGAGAGGGAAGGAACAGGGCGUGGCCUCACACACUGGCUCGUCGUCAGCUUCACCGUUACUUGCAGCUGAAGAAGACAGAUACCAGCAGCCGAUGGCGCCGUCCCAGCUGGUGUUGCUUACCACAGGCUCUGAGGUAUGGUAGGAUGCGAUUCUUAUUUUGAAGAGUGGCACGCUCGAGUUGUGAAUCUGCUGCCAUACGUUGGCUGAGGAAAAAAUAAUGGCACUUAUAAUAUUUGUGCAGCCAAGUUUGCGAGAUUUACAGACUUGAUGCAGUAACACUGUAAAUAGGUAUAGAUUCAGACCUCACCAAAGACAUGUUCAUCCUAUUGCUUGCCUCGGUAUUCCAUAGAUUAUCUGCCCGGUAUGCCUAUUGCUUUCCUAGCUUGGUAAGUUUAUUAGCCUGAAUUUUUUGAGGUGAAUAUGCUAAGUUUACAUGUUGUAAAUAGAUUAUGAUCUAAUAGCCAGCAAUCUCUCGGCACAUUCGCUCACAGUAGUUUGUGUCAUUGAUGUUUUUCUUAAUCUACACAUGCGCUUGUAUCAUGCUCCUCAUAUAUUAGAAUAGAUCAGUUUUGUUCUAAGGUUUUAUUCAUUUAUUUAUUUCUGCGAGGUGGCUAUCUAGUAUUCAAAUUAACCAGACCAUUUUUUACUUACCUAUAGACCAUUUUAGAUCUACUCUGACAACCAAUACGGCCUUCAAGUCCACUAGAAGAAGCAGCUUGUGAAGCAUCCAAGUGGUUAGCCUAGAGCACAUGAAACAAUUACCAGCUCAUCAAAAUUUACAGCUGAAGUUAGAUAAAAAAAUUAGUAACAGUGAUCAAGUGGAUGUACACCCAACUGGAUUUAUAGCUGAAGCAGAAAUAAAAGGAAACUAGCAACAAAAUAGAUGUGUUACACGAGAUCUGACUUAAAAUGGCAGAUUGCUUGAAGUUGCAAAACUAGCUAACUUGAAAUUACCUCAGGACCAAGGGGGUCUUCUGGGUGUCUUUCUCUACGUACAGGUGAAUAUUUAUAUCCAGAGGAUCCAAUGGCACCAUUCAGAGUGACAUUAGCUGUUUGCUGAAUGUUAUUUUUAUCAGAUGCAUUAUCCCCUUGAGUUAUAGCCUAUAGUUCCUCACUUCCUUCGAAGUUCUUGCAAUCCAUACAUUUACAAUUCUUGGAGCAAAGAAUAUUUGCUUGAAAGCAUUCACAGUACUUCUUGAGACGCCCUGAUUUUUUGCAGUGCCAGCCUUUAUUAUGUUUGGGAAGUGAAGGUGCUCUAGCAUCCUGAUGGCAGCGAAGAUUAGUCAAAUGCACGAAAAAGAAUCACAAGAAAGUAUUUUAUUUAAAUGCAGUAAACUUAUUUUUGAGUAAUCAUGUUCUUUUUCUGUUUUCCAGGAAGGUACAAAGGCUAAGGUAAAAAAUGAUUUUAGUGGGAGAUUCAACCUGGGAGAGGUGCGCAGAACUACUGAAGAAAAGAGAUUCUACAACUUGAAAAGCACCUCAAGGAAUUGUUAUUUCUGAUUGCAGUUGCAUCCCAGGUGGGCUGAGGUGAUAACAACUGAAUUCUGUUCUACUGCAGAUAGAUUCCGUAUGCACUUAUAUUUGCAUGGGCCCAAGGAUAGUUCUCUUUAUGUUGUAGUACCACUUACAAAUGUAUAUUCUGUGAAAGGAAGCGGAUAAUUUAAAUGGGCCCAAGGGACUUGUGGUGAGGCCUACAAGGCUGGAACACUGUCUGUUGGAUAUUCAUUUGUCAACUAAUACAUGACCAUACUAGAGAA